Molecule: long non-coding RNA, 695 nt
Filed under: Mytilus galloprovincialis (Mediterranean mussel)
Lineage: Eukaryota; Metazoa; Mollusca; Bivalvia; Mytilida; Mytilidae
Source: RNAcentral
GAGGUUAUAAACUUUUGCUUUGAUAGCAAUACUCAAUUUAGCAUUGUUUAAAAAAGCAUACAAAAUGUUGUUUGGAACAGACAAUCAUAAGAAAUUUUGGUUAGUCACAGACAAAAUGUACAUGGUCUUUCUCAUUGCCAUAUUUCUUCUUCUGUAACCACACACAAUCUCAAAACCUAUGUAGAUGUACAGAAUAACUACAAUAAACUAGAUGUGUCAAAACCACACAAACCAGAAGGUAGUCUCACAUAUAUAACCAGAUGCUCCGCAGGGGACAGCUUUAUACAACCGCAGAGGACGAACCAUGAACAGUUGGGGCAAGUAUGGACAUAACAUUUAAGCUUGAUACAGCUCUGAAUUUGGAUUGUGAUUAAAUAGUUGACACAACAUAGGUUUCUGUUGUUUCCUAUAUUUGUUUAGGGGCCAGCUGAAGGAUGCCUCUGGGUGCAGGAAUUUCUCGUUACAUUGAAGACUUGUUGGUGACCUUCUGCUGUUGUCUGCUCUAUGGUCGGGUUGUUGUCUCUUUGGCACAUUCCCCAUUUCCAUUCUCAAUUUUAUUCUGACACAGAAUGAAUGUGGUCCAAGAACUUUAACUUAAAAACUUAAAAUUUUUACCUAUUAUGGUCCAAUAUCCAAAAUCUAAAUACAUGGUUUAAGAUUCAGCAUAUCAUAGAACCCCAAGAAUUCAAUUUUUG